GGAAACGCCCGGCAACAUUCCGAACCCGGAAGCUAAGACUCGCAGCGCCGAUGGUACUGCAAGGGAGACCUUGUGGGAGAGUAGGACACCGCCGGAC
Molecule: ribosomal RNA, 97 nt
Filed under: Subtercola sp. Z020
Lineage: Bacteria; Bacillati; Actinomycetota; Actinomycetes; Micrococcales; Microbacteriaceae
Source: RNAcentral